GUACUCGCGAGCGAGCUCCGUGGAGCCGCGUGACAAGUUUGUUGACUGUUCCUUUCGACGGCGUUUCCUGCAAUUAACGAGAAGUAAACGGUAAAAGGUAGAAGAGGCACGAACGUCAUCAUGUCCAUGUACCUUUUGUACUUUCAAAAGUGCUUAAAACUAUUUGUUUAGUCGCCUUUUGUGCAAGUAAAGUUUUUAUUGACAUGCUUGCGGGGUUACACCUUCCGCACGUGGUCUUCUUUGAGAAUUUAAAAAAAAAAAAAAAAAAUCCUGGGUUUGAUGGAAAACAUUUUUUCAGACCGCAAAAUACAGUACAUGAAACUCUAUACAACAUUGAACUACUAAGAGCGCAAUUGAAGUGCGUUGGCCACAAGAGGGCAGCACUGCACCACUCGACUAUUACUGUGGCGCACAACAGGUUUAAUUCCCAAAAGGCAGAGAUCGCUAGAGCAGAAAAAUAACAUUUGUUUUGGAACAAAGGAAGGAUACAUGUCAGUUUCUCAUUCUCAUUUUUCAUAGUUUUUGUAAGCUUUUCUUUUUUUGAUUAAUAAUUUCUAAGACUGCUUCCUCAAACAUUCUCCAGUUAAUCUCAGCACUGCGCAAUGUGCGGGUUACGCGUUAGCUACACGUGUGGUUCGUCAGAGAAGGACAAAUUCUGCAGAUAUCGGACGGAAUCAUAAAGCAAGAACUUCAAAUAUCUCUUUCUAAGCUUUAAAAAAAAAAAAAUAAAAAUCAGUUGUAAAAAUCUGACGAACCCUUGUUGGGAAGUUUGUUACUCCAUACUGGUUGAUUCAGAAAUGUGUUUUCUAACAAGAUGUAAAAAAAAAAAAAAAAAAAUGUAUUCAGCUGUAACGUUAAGACACGUGUUUCCGGUGUUUCCCAGUAUGCCUUCAGCCUUGUCCGUGUAUUUUUCUCUUUUAAAAUUCUGUCAGUGCCGGUGGUGCCAUGUGACGGCCAGCAGGGGGCGCUGGACUCUGGCGCACAGUCAGCAGGCCUCAAGUUGUCAGACUGCUGUACGUACAUACUGCACAAGAUGGAUCACCAUUGCCAGCAUGCAGAUUCAGCUUUUUCUGUACUCUGCGGAAGUGCAAGACCCAGUGAAGAUGAAAGAACCAAUGGCCGGAAUCAAAGACGAAGCUGAAACUAGUUCACGGAACGAAAACCAUGAUAUAUAAUGUUGGAGCAAAAAAAUCAACUGGUGAGUACCACAGAGCUGACAGGGUGCGAGGUUUGCUCUAGAUCCACAAUAAAACUGACUUAACACAUGAUAGCGGGCUGCA
Molecule: long non-coding RNA, 1280 nt
Filed under: Scleropages formosus (Asian bonytongue)
Lineage: Eukaryota; Metazoa; Chordata; Actinopteri; Osteoglossiformes; Osteoglossidae
Description: lncRNA (ENSSFOG00015028628.1)
Source: RNAcentral